ACUACUACUACUACUACUACUACUACUACUACUACUACUACUACUACUACUACUACUACUACUACUACUACUACUACUACUACUACUACUACUACUACUGCUAUUACUUCUACUAUUAUUACUACCGUACUUGUAAUAAGGAUUUAAAGAACAUAGGAACUUAGUUGAUGCGAUUUCACAAAUGAUGCAACUUUUUGAGAAGAGCGUCCCUCUUUUUACGAAUACCUGCGCAAGACAGAUCCGACCCGUCCAGAGAUAUCUCAUGUCAGUGUACGAUAUAAUUAUAAUUACUCGCGACCAAUAAAUAAACAAAGCUAAUGGAAUAAAAAUACAAGAAAGAAGCAGAAACGAAAUUAAACAAAAAGAAGAGUAAGAACGAAAAUGAACGAUAAGAUACGAAACAAGUAACAAGCUGCGAAAGAAUAGAAAAAAAGAAAUGACGAAAGAAAUCAUCAUAACCGGAAUCAUCGAGCGUAUUGUAGUUAAUCCUUUAUACUUGUAAGCUGGACGUGUCGCGCAGUCCUGUGCAGGUGCGACUAAAUAAUCGUGGGCGUGAAAGGGACGAAGACGACGAAGGGCGACGAACGGUCUUUUUUUCUCCCUCCCAAAGAAGUAUUGUGUCGUCGUCGUCUCCCUCCGUCGCGCUCAGGGACACCUUUUUCCUCGAGACGUUUUGCCGCUUUCAUUGUUUAGAUGAUUACUAUUUAACGACAAAAAAAUAAAAAACGAAAAAAUCGAAAAUACGACGGAGAUCGUCGGCGGAAGGAAGAGUAACGAUGACAGAGGAGGGGUAAACGGAAAAGAACAAAAAAAGAAAAAAGGGGAUCGAGACCAGAACCUUUUUAAUGACCCAACACACGUCGCCGUUAACGUGUUCGUUAUGUGCGAGAUGGGCAUUUCUUUUUCAGAGAAAACAAGAUACCAAAAAAGUAAAAAAAUGUUACGAUGAAACAGACAAAAAACAACAAAAGACAUUUCGAAUAAAGGAAAAAAAAAAAUACACGAAGAAUAACGGAGUGAAGGAGAGAGCGUGAGUGUCGUCUCCUGUUGCGCUCGACCACAGACAUCGACCUGAUUUGUAACUCGAGGAUCGUCCAUGCACUCGCGUAACGUCGAUUUUUCCUUACGUCGAACGAUCGAACCCCUUCGUUUAGAAUAAUCAUCGGUUCCUUUCAGCUCGAAAUUUCCAAGAUCUUAAUAUAUACGUAUAUCCCAAAGUCGAACAUAGUUCUUGACAACCAGAGAUCCCAAAGAUCUCUCUCAAUACACGCGAACAAGGUAACCUAAGAGCGACCUUUGUCACCAAAGAGUAACCAGCCGUAUCGACAGCGUCGUUUCUGAAUACUCUAACGAGGCAAGAAACGGUUCUAACGUGCCGGUACACUUGGUCUGCUCGCUUGGUGACCCGAACGAACCGACAACGCAGGUACUUUGAAUUCGAGCCGGAGCUCGUCACGAGAAACUUCGACGCUGACGAGGAAACGAUGAUACGAGUACACAGGGUAACCGGAAACGAGGGAAAGAGAGUGGAUGGUAAAAGCGUAGGUUUCACGGUGCCGACGUUGCAAUCGCGCAAUUGCCGCGUGGCGAUACUCCUUCAGACGAAAAGUGCGGUCCUUUUCUCGGUCGUUGUUGAGCCACGUAAAACUGCCACGAACAAAAAACGUCUCUCUGGCCAGGCAAGGGGAGCAAAGGAAAACGGGGGGGUGCGACGGGCACAGGGAGGAAAGGAGGCGACGAGAGCCGCGUAGACCAGGCAAGGACGAUCCUCGAGAGGGUGAGCACACGAAGGGGAUUUAAACCGACGAAACGGCUUGAGCGCUGGGAGAAACAGGAGUGUACAGGGGUGGGUACAGGGGGAGAGAGAAACACGGGCAAAGGACAGGUGCGCGGGAGGUUGAACGGAAGAGGAUAUAGCCCACGCGAGAGAUCGACGAGAAUUUUCGUGGAAAGGUGCGGUGCGGAUCGAACGAAAGAAUGAGAGGGAGAUGUGGCGCGUGCGUGCGUGUGCAAGAGGAACGGACAAAAGGGUUGAGGGAAGGGAGCAGGGGAACAGUGGAACGUUUACAGGGAGACGAAAAGCGAGUAAACGAUGGUGGAAGAGUACGGUCCUCGGGAAAAGCCACGUUCGGCCCUCUCUCGUCGCGACGAGCAUUUAAUCAAUGGUAGGGGAUGCUUAGUGGACUUAAUCUUAGGGAACUGACGAAAGAAAAAAAUGAGAGAGCCGACGAAGAAGGGGCGUGGAGAGGCGGAAUCGUAGCGAACGUCGAAAUUUUUGAUUGCGUCGCGCGAACGAUGAGAAUAAACAGAGGGUGAUAGAAGCGACGAAGAAAGGACGAAGUAGCGGUUGAGAAAGAGAUUGGGCGGGGAGUUAGAAAGCAUACGAAAGAUACACUAUGAAAUAUCAGGAGAAACAUUUACGUAGAGUGAGAGAGAAUGCGAGUAGGAGAGAGAGAGCGUAAGAUUUUGCUGCGUGUUGCGGGGUGUAUGUCGAAAAAUUACGCGCGUACAGAAACGCGAGCUGGACGAAAUUAACGUGUAACGAAGCAGGAAAGGGAAUUGGAAGAACAGUAAUGAAAAGCGGGUGAUAUAAGAGAGAUAAUAAAUGGAGACGUUGUACUGAGGAGAAAUAGGGGUGAAUUAGGGAGAGAGAGAAAGAGUGACAGAGAGCGAGAGCGAGAGCGAGAGAGAUAGAGAGAGUGAGAGAGAGAGAGGGAGAAUGAACGGGUGGAAUGCGAAGCUAGCUUAAAAAAAGGCACAUUCUGUCAAUUUGUCAAUAUUGUCAUGAUUCGAUAAUGGUCGAUUGGUAUGCCUACGAUUGAACUUCUAUUUACCGGGUGGAUGUAUGAUGAUUCAGUACGAUUCUUAUAAUUAUUAUCAUUAUUAUUCUUAAUUAAUUAAUUGAUUAUCAUUAUCAAUUAUCAUUAACAGUGCGAAAGUAGGAGUAAUAAACCACAAAACAGAGAAAACAGGAAACCGAUGAUAAAGCAAAAACACAAAAAAAAAAAAAUAAAGAAAGAAAGGCAACCACUUAUAUUAUUGUACAUAUUUACUUGUAACUGCUAUUCGUAUUGCAGUGGUUUUGUUCUCUCAACAAAUGAUUUCCUCGAUUCUGCGGGAAGAAAAAAAAAUGAAUAAAAUAAAAUUUGUGUAUUAUUAAGAUCCGCGAGUACGUUUCAUUUUCCCACUGACCUAUCCUAAAUUAACCAAUCUUAAAUUACAGGAACAAAAGGUGAGAACAAGAAUUUUUUCUUUAUUUUCUUCGUCGUUUUACGGGGUUAAUUUUCAGCUCGAAAUUCAAUUCAACGAACUUUUUUUUUCUUACGCGAUCGAGUUCCACUCUUUCGAAUUCGGGACGGUAAUUUCACGGAAACGCGACCGUUUGUGGUAAAAUUGAAUCCGUGCCGCGUUACGUUCCUGGAUCUUUUACGGCAUCGAAGAUAAGCUAUCUAUCGGCGUGCGCGACGAUCUCGCGUUUUUAUUUGUUCUUCGAAACGAUUUACCUCUUCGGCCACCCUGUCCUCUUUCGACCGCGAAAGAUCAAACACGAUACGCGCGUUCUGUCGCCAUCUUGUGGAUUUAUAACCGUAUCAGAGUAUUGAUUUCUUACUUGUGGGCAAAAAUUACAGAUACCGUCGCUCGUUCUUUCCUAGAAAUGAGGGUUUCAAUUUAUUAUGAGACGUAAUCAAGUUGCAGCGCCGAUACGAUAACACGCACGGACCUGUUAUCCUGCCAAUACGCUGGAUUAUUGAAUUAUCCGAAAGUGGUUGCGUGUAUCCGGGCUUAAGCGUAUUUAUAGCUUCGUUUUGCCGCGGAAACGUGUUUGCGUUUUGUAAUAUUCGGUUGUUUAAUUCAUGAAAGACCGAGCAGUAAAGUAAUCUAUAGCAGUUACAUAAUCGCAUCAUUGAGAAAAGUAAAUAAACUAAUUUAUGUACUGUUUUAUCAAGGUAGCAGAAAUUCAUUAAAAUGUUAUUAUAAUUAUAUUUAUAUACAUAGAAAAGAUGAUAAAAGGGAUAUGUGAUCAUAAUACUUCUAUUUCCCCAAAUUUUACAAAAUUGUUGGAUCUAGAUAGAUGAUAAUAAUACUCAUUAAGAUAAGCAGACAAUUCAGGAAUCAUAUGUUUCUGUGAGAUUUAAAAAAUGUAAUCAUAGGAUUCCGUAUGAUAAGAUAAGAAAAUUAAAGCAUUUAAUUGCCGAAUAAAAGCAGUCUCCGAUUUUAAAACAUAAAAUAAUCUCUAACGAGAUAUGAUGUACAUACUCUGUAUUCAAAGAAACAGUACAUAUCCGAAACAACUAUUACUGGCAAGAAACUUGUGAAACAGUAUGAAACCUCUUAUGUUCGUGCAAUAAUCGUUGUUUGAUUGAAUAAAUAUUCAAUGCUACUAAAUUAAAAAAUAGUCUUCCUAGAAAACACAUUGAAAUAAUAUAUUACAUAUACUACUUAUAUAAAAUCUCCUAUGAGAGAUAGGAUCAAAUACAUUUGAUUAGAAAACUAUCAGCAAUGAACUGCGUAUCACCAAGUCCUUAUAUAUUUCUUUGGAAACAUCAAAAUCACCUGGAAACCGAAACAAACUUAACAGCGAUAUUCGUUUCAUUCAAAUUCCACCUCGAAGGGAAUGCAAUCCGAGAGACGAGCAGAGAAGAUCCACGAGAAAUUCCUGACAAAAACGAGGGUUCAUCCCCGGCUUCAAUCUCAAGGAAACAUGCAUACUUUGGUGUUCCGAGUUGCGAGGCAAAGUCCGUGAGGACUCGGCACGUAAUAAGGUCUGGCAGAACGAAUCGAGUUCGAAGGUGUGAGAGCUCGACGUCGGACCGAAUCAACAGAAUGGAAGAGAAGAUCCGGACAAAA
This is a long non-coding RNA of Bombus terrestris (buff-tailed bumblebee), 4848 nucleotides long. RefSeq lists it as uncharacterized. The record is from RefSeq and is a predicted model, not a curated record. The transcript has 2 exons. Lineage: Eukaryota; Metazoa; Arthropoda; Insecta; Hymenoptera; Apidae.